RNAcentral lists this ribosomal RNA (395 nucleotides) under uncultured bacterium. Its description in RNAcentral is "bacterial SSU rRNA". It matches the Rfam family "Bacterial small subunit ribosomal RNA", at positions 30 to 429 of the family's 1533-position model. The record is from RNAcentral.
AUUGAACGCUGGCGGCAUGCCUUACACAUGCAAGUCGAACGGCAGCGGACCUUCGGGUGCCGGCGAGUGGCGAACGGGUGAGUAAUAUAUCGGAACGUACCUUUCAGUGGGGGAUAACGUAGCGAAAGUUACGCUAAUACCGCAUAUUCUGUGAGCAGGAAAGCAGGGGAUCGCAAGACCUUGCGCUGAUUGAGCGGCCGAUAUCAGAUUAGCUAGUUGGUGAGGUAAAGGCUCACCAAGGCGACGAUCUGUAGCGGGUCUGAGAGGAUGAUCCGCCACACUGGAACUGAGACACGGGUCCAGACUCCUACGGGAGGCAGCAGUGGGGAAUUUUGGACAAUGGGCGCAAGCCUGAUCCAGCCAUGCCGCGUGAGUGAAGAAGGCCUGGUUGUAAG